RNAcentral lists this microRNA precursor (98 nucleotides) under Canis lupus familiaris (dog). RNAcentral's name for it is "mir-8834 microRNA precursor family". It matches the Rfam family "mir-8834 microRNA precursor family". The record is from Rfam by way of RNAcentral. Lineage: Eukaryota; Metazoa; Chordata; Mammalia; Carnivora; Canidae. RNAcentral also lists the same sequence under 1 other name.
AGGAGGAACAACCCCAGUGGUUGCUGCAGCUCUCGAAACCUGGAUUCAGCUCCCGCAGGAACUACUCUGUCUGCAGGGCCUGGAGGCUCCGGGGCGUG